This is a long non-coding RNA of Ailuropoda melanoleuca (giant panda), 3752 nucleotides long. RefSeq lists it as uncharacterized. The record is from RefSeq and is a predicted model, not a curated record. Lineage: Eukaryota; Metazoa; Chordata; Mammalia; Carnivora; Ursidae. The transcript has 3 exons.
UGUAAGUUUAGAUACUCCAAAAGGGACCAAAAUCCAUGAAGGACUGAGUUUGCCUGUGACCCAUGUACCCGAAUAGAUAGUCAGAGACAUAGAUGCUGGCAUGACAAGUUGAUUAAUUCACGCAGACUGCAUCCCUAAUUCUCCCUUCCUCAGAGGCAGGCACAGGGAUCCGUUGUGUUCUUAAAUGGUGGGACUGAAGGGCAGAAUCAAGACCUCCCCUCCCAGAUACUCUAGGACAAAUUGACUCUUUGAACUGAAGGAGGAAGAAACUUCCUUCUUUGGCCUGUGUUUUGUGUCUGUGUCCCCAUCUUGAUUCUGGGUUCUGUGGGGCUUUAUCUAUGGUGCAUUCACUUCUGUGCCACCGCCACCCCCAUCUCACUGUGGGUUCAGCCCAACAACCAUCUGAACAGAGUGGGUGUGCAGCCACUGCCUGUUAGGUGCACAAGGAAGGAAUUAAUAGUGAUAGCUAGCAUAUGUAGUACUCGCUCUGUGCUGAGCACUUUACAAUAAUCCUAAAAAGUAGGUGCUGUUAUUUUGAGGUCUAUUUUGCAGAGGAGGGAAGUGAAGCACAGAGAGGUCAAGAAACUUGCCCACAGUCACACAGCCCAUGAGUGGUAAAGCCAGGAUUUGAACUGCAUGGUCUCAUUCAGUUAGCCAUGUUCUUAAACACAUCACUACCCCCAAUCUUUGCAUAUUAUGGGUUGGUAAAAGAGAUGGAGCAGAUGGAGCCCUUGAGUGGCCCGGAGUGCCUCACAGUGAGUGGCCAGUGCUCAAGGAACAUUUUAGGUGAGAAGUGGUUGGGUCAUUUGUCAAAAUGAAAAGCUAAAGAGGAUGCUAAUGUGGGUCCAGGAAUUAGCCCAAAGCUCUAACUUCAAAACUUGGGCUCCAAAACCAGCUCCUGGCUGACCUUUCAGAUGAUAAUAAAGACAACUGGCAAAUGCGUACGAAGGAGACAUUCUAGAAAUUAAUUCUCAUGAGGAAAUGAGAUAAGCAGUUAAUUUGGGAACAAAGAGUUAUUUUCAGUAGGCGUUUACUGUGGGUCCCAAGGUGCAUAAGGCCAGUGGGGACUUGGGCGGUUGUAUACCAUGGCUCUCGUCUUUGAGAAGCUCCUAGUGAAAUGGCAAGAUGGAGGUCCAUCUUCUAUGCGGAAGCCAACUUAGAGUGCCUCAUUCGUUGGCCAUGGGCCUGUCCGUCCCAGUCUGUGGAGGGCUGCUUGGUGUCCCCCCAUUGUGUGUCCAGCCAGCUAUGACCUGGAGAGGAGCAUUCUGGUGAAAUGGCUUCUGGCUGGACGAGCCAAGUCCCUUCCUGGCUGAGGGACCAGCCCCUGGCUUUGUGUCUCUCUGGCACAUCGUGANAGUGAGAGCCACAGUGAAGGGCCCCAGAGGCCAGCCAAGCCGUGAGCAAGCAGUCCUCACGGGGAGCUGCCGCGUCCAGUGCCCAGUGCUCCUGUUGGGCUAUGAGCAAUUUCCAAGUAAUUAAGUGGAUUGGGUUCUAAUGCCCUUGUGACCAUCCUCUGGCAGGUUCUAUUGAUGUCUUGGCAGCCAGACUAGCCCUGGAGGGGGCCCUGCCCUGGCAUCCACUCUGCCUGGAGGGGACUGAUGAGGGAGGGGCUCAACAUAUUUAGAAGUUCAUGUGCACGGGGAGCUGAUUACUCUCCUUCGAGAUCAGUGUUUGCUACCAGUCCCAACUUGCAUGGAGCUAGGCUUUUCAUGGCAACUAAAAACCUGUCUGGAAAUAAAAUGUCUCUUUCCUUUUGCAUUUCUACCGUAAUGACACAGGAAACUCGUUUUUCCUUUUUAACUUACCAGGAUAACUGGCGAUGAAUAAGAGUAUAGACGUGUGGGGCGCCUGGGUGGCACAGCGGUUGAGCGUCUGCCUUCGGCUCAGGGCGUGAUCCCGGCGUUAUGGGAUCGAGCCCCACAUCAGGCUCCUCCGCUAUGAGCCUGCUUCUUCCUCUCCCACUCCCCCUGCUUGUGUUCCCUCUCUCGCUGGCUGUCUCUCUCUCUGUCAAAUAAAUAAAUAAAAUGUUUUAAAAAAAAAAAAGACAUUUACGGUGCUGAGCAGCCAUCCCCACCGUCCGCCUCCAGAAUGUUCCAUCCCCCCACACUGAGACCCUACCUUGUCCCUUUUACAGGCUGACCCCACCCCUUCCCCCAGACCCCCGCACCACCAUCUACUUUCUGUCUCUGGAUUUUGACGACUCCAGGGAGCCCUGAAGAGCCAAGUCCUGCAGUGUCCAUCCUUCCUUGUCCAGCUCUCCUCCCUCAGCAUCACGUCCUCCAGGCUCACCCGUGUUGCAGCAGGUGCAGAAACUGAAGGGGACAUCACCCCAGCCAAACCACCAGGUCCCUGGGGCAUCCCUGCCGCUGCAGCCGUAUCUAGCUGUACCUUUCUCUGGAAAAUUGUUCCCAGCGCACGCCUGAGCUCCUGCUCCCCCUCCCGGUAACCCUCGGCCCAGAGCUGAUGGUGGCGUGGGGUCCACUCUGGCCCCUGGCCUCCAGCUGCCAUUCCGACCGCAGAGCUCCCGGGGAGCCAGGUGAGUAAACCAUGGUCCACAGAAGCAUAAGGAUCCAACCAAGGCCGCUCACGGGGUUGGGAGCAGAUGUUCUGGUCAGCAACGGGGCUCCAAACUCUUGUGACAUCCCGUACUGAGCCGCAGCCUUCUUAUCAUUGUUUUAAGUAGACGUCACGCCCAACGUGGGGCUUGAACUCAUGACCCUGAGAUCAAGAGUUGCAUGCUCUACCGACGGAGCCAGCCAGCCAGGCCUCCCCAAGCUGCAGCCUCUCAAUGAUGAUAUCAUUACGAGAUUUUCAAAUUUAUGCACACUGAUGGGGGAAGCUUUCUUCUGAGGUCUCCACGGAGAUCAGACGACCCUGCUACACGCUUAUUUUGGAAAAAUUUGACAUCAUCUUAUAAAGCUGAAGACGCCCUACCCCGGCCCCAUCCAUUCCAGCCCUAGAUGGACAUAUUCUUCAGGUAAACUCGUGCACACGUGUGAGGACAUCCUUCACGACACUGUUUCCAGAACCAAAAAGCUGACACAACCCAACUCUCCAAGGGCCAGAGGAGGAUAAAGAAACUAGGGUGGGCCUACAGCAGACUGCCGUCCGCAGGGCGAUGAGCGAGCUGGGGCUUCGCACGCGAAAAUGCAUUACUCUCAUAAACGUCAUGGAGAAAAAGUGCAAGUUCCAGGAAAAGACGUAUAAAUGAGGACCACAAACAUGUAUUAUGUUCUCUAAUAUAUGGGACACACGUACAGCACUAGACAUGUUUUUUUUUUUAAGAUUUUUAUUUAUUUGACACAGAGACAGCCAGCGAGAGAGGGAACACAAGCAGGGGGAGUGGGAGAGGAAGAAGCAGGCUCCCAGUGGAGGAGCCUGACGUGGGGCUCGAUCCCAGAACGCUGGGAUCACGCCCUGAGCCGAAGGCAGACGCUUAACAACUGCGCCACCCAGGCGCCCCAGUACUAGACAGGUUUGCACACUGCACGUGUAUUUUUAUAUUUAUGAUGUCUUUGCCUUUCUCUAUAGAUGUACGAUUUUAUUACAUGUGGUAUUUUAUAUGUGGAGUGUAUAUAAUAUAUAACUUACAUAAUAUAGUAGCUUAUGCAUAUUACAUAUAAAUACGUACUUACUAUACGUUUUACUAUGUUUAUCACUCUAUGUAUUUACUCUGUAUAUUUACCAUAGAUAGUAUUUUAUAUAUAAUUUUGUCUUAUAAAUAAGUUUAAACACUGUAAGUACAAUAAUAU